AGCACGAUGCAUGUGUCAGAUAUGGAUGAAUUGAAAGAGGGAGGUAAGGCGAAAGUGAAGGCAGGUAGCAGACAGCAAAAAGCCAAAAAGGGCGCUUUCCACUUCGUGUUGGCCAUCGCGUUGUGCUUCCUUCCUUCUCUCUCUUCUCUCUUUUUUCCCUCUUUUUUCUCUUCUAUUCUCUCUCCU
RNAcentral lists this non-coding RNA (186 nucleotides) under Palpitomonas bilix. The record is from RNAcentral.